AGGACGAACGCUGGCGGCGUGCUUAACACAUGCAAGUCGAGCGGUAGGGCCCUUCGGGGUACACGAGCGGCGAACGGGUGAGUAACACGUGGGUGACCUGCCCCCUACUCUGGGAUAAGCCUGGGAAACUGGGUCUAAUACCGGAUAUGACCUGCUGUCGCAUGAUGGUGGGUGGAAAGUUUGUUCUUAAUUGGACACUUCGGUGGGGGAUGGGCCCGCGGCCUAUCAGCUUGUUGGUGGGGUGAUGGCCUACCAAGGCGACGACGGGUAGCCGGCCUGAGAGGGCGACCGGCCACACUGGGACUGAGACACGGCCCAGACUCCUACGGGAGGCAGCAGUGGGGAAUAUUGCGCAAUGGGCGGAAGCCUGACGCAGCGACGCCGCGUGGGGAUGACGGCCUUCGGGUUGUAACCUCUUUCGGCCCGACGAAGCGUGAGUGACGGUAGGGUAGAAGAGCACCGGCCAACUACGUGCCAGCAGCCAC
RNAcentral lists this ribosomal RNA (485 nucleotides) under uncultured bacterium. RNAcentral describes it as "SSU rRNA". It matches the Rfam family "Bacterial small subunit ribosomal RNA", at positions 26 to 518 of the family's 1533-position model. The record is from RNAcentral.